Molecule: unclassified non-coding RNA, 161 nt
Filed under: soil metagenome
Description: partial internal transcribed spacer 1
Source: RNAcentral
AAGAGACGUUGCCCUUCGGGGUAUACCUCCCACCCUUUGUUUAUUUUACCUUUGUUGCUUUGGCGGGCCCGUCCUCGGACCACCGGCUUCUGCUGGUCAGUGCCCGCCAGAGGACCUAAAACUCUGUUUGUUAAUAUUGUCUGAGUACUAUAUAAUAGUUA